Molecule: long non-coding RNA, 519 nt
Organism: Saccostrea cuccullata (small rock oyster)
Lineage: Eukaryota; Metazoa; Mollusca; Bivalvia; Ostreida; Ostreidae
Exons: 4
Source: RefSeq, a predicted model, not a curated record
AAAAUUCCGCCAAGAAAACAACACAGAAAGGAAUUUGGGAUGUUAUCAGUUGUAUACAGUAUGUGCGACGGUGACUGCAAGAAUGCCAUUAUGGGGAGCUAACCCAUGCUGCUGAGGGUGGAAAGGUCUCGCUUUUAAAUAGUUGUGAUCUGAGACAUCAGUCACAUACAUGUGUAUUUAGGGAGUCUAUAUACACUUGAGCUGAGCUGCAGAUAGGAAAUAUGGAAGAAUUUCAGAUGUUGUGAUGAAGAUAUUUAAGAGUGAUCAUCAUCAUCUAAAUGUGCAGGUCAGAACUCACAGGACAGUUUUUGUAAACCACCUGAAAGAUCUGAGUACCCUGAUGACUGUUGAACUGAUUGGUGACUGAGAAAAGAUGUCAGAGAGGAGAAUCCAAAAGGGAUGUCUUGAUCAAGAAUAUAUACUGUUAUGAAUGAUAUGGUCAAGAAUAUGUAAACUAAGAAAUAUCCUUUUAUAGAUUUAUAGAUGAACAUUCAAGCAUUCAUAAUUAUGAAAGCUAGU